AUCAUGGCUCAGGAUGAACGCUAGCUACAGGCUUAACACAUGCAAGUCGCGGGGUAACAUCUGGUAGAGCUUGCUCUUCCAGGAUGACGACCGGCGCACGGGUGAGUAACGCGUAUCCAACCUGGCCCAUACCACGGGAUAGCCCGUCGAAAGGCGGAUUAAUACCGUAUGCUGUCAUUAAGAUGCAUAUAUUGAUGACGAAAGGACUGGCGGUAUGGGAUGGGGAUGCGUCUGAUUAGCUUGUUGGCGGGGUAACGGCCCACCAAGGCGACGAUCAGUAGGGGUUCUGAGAGGAAGGUCCCCCACAUUGGAACUGAGACACGGUCCAAACUCCUACGGGAGGCAGCAGUGAGGAAUAUUGGUCAAUGGGCGCAAGCCUGAACCAGCCAAGUAGCGUGAGGGAAGACUGCCCUACGGGUUGUAAACCUCUUUUGUUUGGGAAUAAAGUGCGGGACGUGUCCCGCAUUGCAUGUACCAUUUGAAUAAGGACCGGCUAAUUCCGUG
This 504-nucleotide ribosomal RNA is filed under the name uncultured bacterium. RNAcentral describes it as "bacterial SSU rRNA". It matches the Rfam family "Bacterial small subunit ribosomal RNA", at positions 16 to 507 of the family's 1533-position model. The record is from RNAcentral.